RNAcentral lists this ribosomal RNA (468 nucleotides) under uncultured bacterium. RNAcentral describes it as "partial 16S ribosomal RNA". It matches the Rfam family "Bacterial small subunit ribosomal RNA", at positions 28 to 507 of the family's 1533-position model. The record is from RNAcentral.
GACGAACGCUGGCGGCGUGCUUAACACAUGCAAGUCGAACGGAAAGGCCCUGCUUUUGUGGGGUGCUCGAGUGGCGAACGGGUGAGUAACACGUGAGUAACCUGCCCUUGACUUUGUGAUAACUUCAGGAAACUGGGGCUAAUACCGGAUAGCAGCUCCUGCUGCAUGGUGGGGGUUGGAAAGUUUCGGCGGUUGGGGAUGGACUCGCGGCUUAUCAGCUUGUUGGUGGGGUAGUGGCUUACCAAGGCUUUGACGGGUAGCCGGCCUGAGAGGGUGACCGGCCAUAUUGGGACUGAGAUACGGCCCAGACUCCUACGGGAGGCAGCAGUGGGGAAUAUUGCACAAUGGGCGGAAGCCUGGUGGAGGAACGCCGCGUGCGGGAUGACGGCCUUCGGGUUGUAAACCGCUUUCGCCUGUGACGAAGCGUGAGUGACGGUAAUGGGUAAAGAAGCACCGGCUAACUACGUG